AACGAACGCUGGCGGCAUGCCUAACACAUGCAGGUCGAACGAGACCUUCGGGUCUAGUGGCGCACGGGUGCGUAACGCGUGGGGACCUGCCCUUAGGUUCGGAAUAACUCCCCGAAAGGGGUGCUAAUACCGGAUAAUGUCUUCGGACCAAAGAUUUAUCGCCUUUGGAUGGGCCCGCGUUGGAUUAGCUAGUUGGUAGGGUAAAAGCCUACCAAGGCGACGAUCCAUAGCUGGUCUGAGAGGAUGAUCAGCCACACUGGGACUGAGACACGGCCCAGACUCCUACGGGAGGCAGCAGUGGGGAAUAUUGGACAAUGGGCGAAAGCCUGAUCCAGCAAUGCCGCGUGAGUGAUGAAGGCCUUAGGGUUGUAAAGCUCUUUUACCCGGGAUGAUAAUGACAGUACCGGGAGAAUAAGCUCCGGCUAACUCCGUG
This 433-nucleotide ribosomal RNA is filed under the name uncultured bacterium. Its description in RNAcentral is "partial 16S ribosomal RNA". It matches the Rfam family "Bacterial small subunit ribosomal RNA", at positions 29 to 507 of the family's 1533-position model. The record is from RNAcentral.